RNAcentral lists this ribosomal RNA (254 nucleotides) under uncultured bacterium. RNAcentral's name for it is "partial 16S ribosomal RNA". It matches the Rfam family "Bacterial small subunit ribosomal RNA", at positions 524 to 776 of the family's 1533-position model. The record is from RNAcentral.
UACGUAGGGGGCGAGCGUUGUCCGGAUUCAUUGGGCGUAAAGAGCUCGUAGGCGGUUCGAUAAGUCGGUUGUGAAAACUCUGGGCUUAACCCAGAGAUUGCAUCCGAUACUGUCGUGACUUGAGUCUGGUAGGGGAUCACGGAAUUCCUGGUGUAGCGGUGAAAUGCGCAGAUAUCAGGAGGAACACCAGUGGCGAAGGCGGUGAUCUGGGCCAGUACUGACGCUGAGGAGCGAAAGCGUGGGGAGCAAACAGG